AGUUUGAUCCUGGCUCAGAGUGAACGCUGGCGGCAGGCCUAACACAUGCAAGUCGAACGGCAGCACAGUAAGAGCUUGCUCUUAUGGGUGGCGAGUGGCGGACGGGUGAGGAAUACAUCGGAAUCUACUCUUUCGUGGGGGAUAACGUAGGGAAACUUACGCUAAUACCGCAUACGACCUACGGGUGAAAGCGGAGGACCUUCGGGCUUCGCGCGGUUGAAUGAGCCGAUGUCGGAUUAGCUAGUUGGCGGGGUAAAGGCCCACCAAGGCGACGAUCCGUAGCUGGUCUGAGAGGAUGAUCCCCCACACUGGUACUGAGACACGGACCAGACUCCUACGGGAGGCAGCAGUGAGGAAUAUUGGACAAUGGGUUAGCGCCUGAUCCAGCCACCCCGCGUGAAGGACGACGGCCCUAUGGGUUGUAAACUUCUUUUGUACAGGGAUAAACCUAUUUACGUGUAAAUAGCUGAAGGUACUGUACGAAUAAGCACCGGCUAACUCCGUGCCAGCAGCCGCGGUAA
This 521-nucleotide ribosomal RNA is filed under the name uncultured bacterium. Its description in RNAcentral is "bacterial SSU rRNA". It matches the Rfam family "Bacterial small subunit ribosomal RNA", at positions 10 to 523 of the family's 1533-position model. The record is from RNAcentral.